This 403-nucleotide ribosomal RNA is filed under the name uncultured bacterium. RNAcentral's name for it is "partial 16S ribosomal RNA". It matches the Rfam family "Bacterial small subunit ribosomal RNA", at positions 28 to 526 of the family's 1533-position model. The record is from RNAcentral.
GACGAACGCUGGCGGCGUGCCUAAUACAUGCAAGUCGAACGCAGUGGGGACGGGUGAGUAGCACGUGGGUAACCUCCCAUCAGAGGGGAUAACACUUGGCAACAGGUGCUAAACCGAUAUGGGUGGAUGGACCCGCGGUGCAUGAGCUUGUUGGUGAGGUAACGGCUCACCAAGGCCAGGAUGCAUAGACGACCUGAGAGGAUGAGCGGCCACACUGGGACGGAGACACGGCCCAGACUCCUACGGGAGGCAGCAGUAGGGAAUCUGGGACAAUGGGCGAAAGCCUGAGCGAGCAAUGCCGCGUGAGUGAAGAAGGUCUUCGGAUCGUAAAACGCGGUUAGUAGAGAAGCGGUAUCUAACCAGAAAGCAACGGCUAACUACGUGCCAGCAGCCGCGGUAAUUC